RNAcentral lists this long non-coding RNA (683 nucleotides) under Lathyrus oleraceus (garden pea). RNAcentral's name for it is "Pisum sativum (pea) long non-coding RNA (PSAT_LNC033091)". Lineage: Eukaryota; Viridiplantae; Streptophyta; Magnoliopsida; Fabales; Fabaceae. The record is from RNAcentral.
UAAAAUCUAUACUACUUCAUAUAAUGUCAAGAAAAUCUAGGAUGACUUGUCUUAAGAUCAACAAGAUUUCAUAUAUGUUACACAAGGCUAACUUUGCCACUAAAAUACAAUAUGUUUAAUACCAUAUCAUUACAAAGUAUAUACCAAAAACAUACUAUGAAAAAUAUAUACAUUACUAUACUUAUUAUGAUAUUACAUGCACAUUAAACACAUGAUAAGAUAUGAUAUCAUGUGUAUGGCAUAUCAUAUAUCUAUCAUAUAUACUUUACAUUAUAUCUUGUCCCUAUUAUAUCAUGAGACUUUAUUAUAUUUUCAUCAAUAUAUAACCAAUUAAUUUAACAACAUCUACAAUGACAAUCUUGGUCUUUUCCACAUUCUCCACGUGCAGAAAAUGAUCCACAUAAUGCCUUGCAUUGUAUUUUGCAUUGAAUACUCCUUCCAGACUUGCGACAUAACCCAGCUACAACUUUGUUACAUUCUUUUGCCUCUAUCAUUUCCACUUGAUUUCCUGCAGAAAAACACAAAUCAAAUAAAUUAAGGAAAAAAACUCGUGAGAUUUUACAAAAAAUAAAUAAAAGUAUCAUAACUCAUACCAAAAUGAAUGGAAAGAAUGAGUAAAAUAAUGAAGACGCUUUUCAUAUUUUAUAUUUUGAGAUUAUAAUGUUCAACUUUCAAUUGGUGAU